CUUCAGGAGUGAAGCUGCAGACCUUCGCGUGAUGGAGGUUGAGAAGUCCAACUUCAAGGCACCACAUCUGGUGAGAGCCUUCAUUCCGAUGACAGCCUUCAUGCUGGUAAGAUUUUCUUCAGAGUUCCAAGGUGGUGCACGGCAUCACAUGGCGAAGGAAAUGAGCGUGCUAGCUCAGGUGUCUCUUCCUCUUCUUAUAAAGCCACCAGUCCCACUCCUGUGCUAGUAACUCUUUAAUCCAUCAACCCAUUAAUCCAUGAAUAGAUUAACCCAUGAGGCCUCUGCCCUCAGGACCCAAUCACCUCUUAAAGGCCUGACCUGUCAAUAUUGCCAUACUGGGGACUCAGUUUCAACAUGAGUUUUGAAAGGGACAAACAUUCAAUCCAUAGUAACAUGAGAGCUUUUCAAAGCCCUUCUUUGUUGAAGUAUGUCCUUCUCCAGCCUCUUUUUUCCCAGGCUUUUUGUUUUUUCUAUUGCUUGUGCAGCUGUUAUCCUUUGCUACAGGUGGCAAUAGCUAAUACAUUUGCCUUUAAAUUUGUUUGACAAACACCACCCUGGAAGUAGCCUCAACUCUGGGGAAGCUCCAAGACAGGUAAAAUACAGGUAAGCCCUUGAGCAGAUCCUUCAGGAAGCUACCAUAUGGGUCAAAACACAGAACCACAAUUCUUUAAUUCUUUGAGAAUAAGGUCUGUAUUGUUCCCUCUGUUACCAGCAACCUGCAGCAGGAAAAUGGGCUUCAGUUUUCAAGUCUGCAGCUGAGUUGGGAAGUUGCGGACAGUAACCAGGAUCGCUGUCCUUAUAAGAAGUGGAAGAAACAUCAGAGAGCUCUCCCUCUCCACACACACAGAGGAAAGGCCACAUGGGGACAAGAGAGGGCAACUGUCUACAAAUCUGGAAGAGAGACUUCAGAAGAAACCAGCACUGAUGGCAUCUGAUCUUGGACUUCCAGCCUCUGGAUCUUAAUACACAAUAUUGGCAACAAUGCAACAAAAUGGACACACUCUACUCUCCAGCGGGAGUUUCAGAAAUAUGCCAUAAUGGAACAAGAUAACUAAAAGAAGAAAACUACCUCAAGGUUAAAAAAACGAAAAGAAGAGAAAGAAAAAAGGAAAGAAGCAGAAGGAAGAACUCUGCUGCAGUACUGGAAGCAGGCAGAUUAUUUAAAUUACGGUGGUGCCAUGGAACAAGAGAAGGCAGAUGAAGAGCGACACCCUUCAAGUUAACACAGGAACAAUUAACAAUAGAAUCCUUAAGAUGCAAAACUCCUUGCUGUUUACCAGCAACAGAAGAGAGGAAGAAGUGGCUCUGGGGGAAUUGCGUGCCAGUCUGCGGCAGGUUGGCUGGAGAAGCAGCCCUGGUUGGAGCUUUGGAGAGACACAUGUGCAUUUACUUGUUACCUGGAAGACCUUUUAAAAAAAAUUCUCGUAAAUCUGUCAUUUGUGUAUCCUCAAGGUUUGUGGCAGAAAGCAGAUAUAUCUGCUCCUGUGUGUAAUUGUUGUUAAAAAACACAAAAAGGAAAUAAAAGUGCACAACAUACCUAGCAGACUUGACCAGAGGGAAUUGGGAAAGGCCAAAGUAAAUUAUUCUAAAAAAUAAGCAAGCAAACCAGAAAAGGUUAAGAUGGAGAGGAGCUUAGAGGAGCAAGUGCUCUUCCCAUGCUGGGAAAAAGGCAGCGACAGAACCGCCUAGUGGGCAGGUGAGGGCACUGAUCACGUGAUAGACUGGGGCCCACUGCAUCUCUUUUCUCUUUGGGUCUUGAGGAUGGAGAGGCAGGAACAUGAAAACAGUGAGAAAUUUUGAGGUUCACUUCCCUUCUUCCACCUCUCACUUCCCCCAUAACCUCUUCCUUUUGAUAGUGCUGGAAGAACAACCCAAGGCCAGCCCUCUUGAAGCAGGCAAAUAGAUGCUUGUCCUUUACUUCAUGUAUAAAGAGAUUGUUUUCUUUCUUUACUAAGACAGUCAGAGCCAAUGAAAGUGGAAGAUAAGUACCUCGAGAGAGCCCUAAGGAGGGAGCAUGGGGGUUCAAGUGUAUGGUCUACUUAGGCAGAGAGGAAUCAGAGUUAAACUAGGCUCAAAAUACAUUUUUAUUUUGAGACAGCCUUGCUCUGUUGCUCAGGCUGGAGUGCAAUGGUGUG
RNAcentral lists this long non-coding RNA (2135 nucleotides) under Homo sapiens (human). RNAcentral describes it as "HSALNT0372298". Lineage: Eukaryota; Metazoa; Chordata; Mammalia; Primates; Hominidae. The record is from RNAcentral.